UUCUGGUGAGGGUUCCGAUUCUAAAGCAUAGAAAAAGCAGAUCCGUACCACAUUGGGUGAUGCGGGUUGCAGGAGAAUAUAUUCAGCCUGUGGUUGGGAAGUGAGAUUAAAAUAUGUACGAAAUAUAUACGGGAGAAAAAAGAGGAAAAAAACUAUAUUUACACUAUACAGGACGGGACAAGACAAAACACACGUCCGACUGCUACGCCAUCUUGGAAUACUAUGAAGUGAGUGAUGAAGGUGCAACCCAUAAUAAAUAGUGACACAUCCAUCCAGACCUGAGCCUGCCUGGCUGCCUGCAAACUGAUCCUCCUGUCUCUGUUCUGCUGUGAUCCUGUCUGCCUGCUAUGGAGCCGCACUGCGUCAAAUGGAAGUGAGGUAACUUUAAGAAGAGGCAGUAGGGGCAUCGGAGUCCCAGCUAUAAACUCCAGGCUCACUGCUAACAGAAUACGGAGGCCUAAAACUAUAUUGUAGUGAAGUGGAACAGAAAAGCGCAGCCUAUAGAAUGUGUAGCAAAUUGAAGUAACUUAGCAAUUGCAUUUUAUUUAUAAUAUUAUAGGACAAUACAUGUGUAACAUGAGCUUCUAGUGGGUGGGCUAUACUCGGCCUUGUCUCAGGAUGGUAAGUUGGUGGUUGAAGAUAUCCCUCUAGUGGUGUGGGGGCUGUGCUUUGGCAAAGUGGGUGGAGUUAUAUCCUUCCUGUUUGGCCCUGUCCGGGGGUAUCAUCGGAUGUGUCUCCUGACCCCUCCUGUCUCAGCCUCCAGUAUUUAUGCUGCAGUAGUUUGUGUCAGGGGGAUAGGGUCAGUUUGUUAUAUCUGGAGUACUUCUCCUGUCUUAUCCGGUGUCCUGUGUGAAUGUAAGUAUGCUCUCUCUAAUUCUCUUUCUCUCUUUCUUUUCUCUCUCUCGGAGGACCUGAGCCCUAAGACCAUGCCUCAGGACUACCUGGCAUGAUGACUCCUUGCUGUCCCCAGUCCACCUGGCCGUGCUGCUGCUCCAGUUUCAACUGUUCUGCCUGCGGCUAUGGAAUCAUGACCUGUUCACCGGACGUGCUACCUGUCCCAGACCUAUUAUUUGACCAUGCUGGUCAUUUAUAAACAUUUGAACAUCUUGGCCAUGUUCUGUUAUAAUCUCCACCCGGCACAGCCAGAAGAGGACUGGCCACCCCUCAUAGCCUGGUUCCUCUCUAGGUUUCGUCCUAGGUUUUGGCCUUUCUAGGGAGUUUUUCCUAGCCACCGUGCUUCAACACCUGCAUUGCUUGCUGUUUGGGGUUUUGGGCUGGGUUUCUGUACAGCACUUUGAGAUAUCAGCUGAUGUACAAAGAGCUAUAUAAAUACAUUUGUUUUGAUUUUCAUUUGAAUAGAGGUGCUAUUGUUAAAGUGUACAGUCCAAAUACAGGCCUAAGUAUGUUAAAUAGGCAUGUUAAAUCUAGAACAUCCGUAGAACACUCUCUAUUAAGCUUCUUUGUCCCCAAAAAUAUUUGGUUGCAUUUUAUUUAUGGCUUUAUUCAACCACAUUAGACAGUCUUAAAUACAUUCUCAGAACAAGAACAAAAGGCUCUGAUACUUUGGUAUCAGGUCACAGACAAAUGGUUACUGACAAAAGGUUAGGAUUUAGAGGUAAGUGAGACUGCUGUUGUCCCAGUCUAAUCUACAGUGCUAAUGGCAGUGUUGGUGAGAUGACUGUUUUGCUAUAGAGUGGUUAUAAUGGUUUAAAUCCUAAUCCACAAAAAGAGGACUUUUGUGGCUCAAAAAAGCAACAAGUACAAACAAAUGAAAAUGGAACAGAUUAUUUUUAACGUUCAUACACCCGUCAACUGCAACAGCUGGUGUGUUAAGUGCAGUAUGUGGCAGUGUUGUACGUUAGUGAGUUCAAGGCCUAUAUUCAUAAAGUGUCUCAGAGUUGGAGUGCUGAUCUAGGAUCAGUUUGGCCUUUUAAAUCAUAAUGAAUGAGAGGGAGGGACCUGAUCCUAGAUCAGCACUCUUACUCUGAGAUUCUUUGAGAAUACGGGCCCAGAAUGUCUUACUGUACCUUACUGAAGUCCACAGCACUGUUCUCUCUGCUGACAUCAGCUUUGCCGUCAUUGGGGAUGGGUAGAGAGGUCUGGGGAGGAAUCACCUGACCUGGAACACAAAGAGAGGAAGGAGUCCAAUAAGUCAACUACUGAGCCCUCUAUAUCAGACCAACAUCAAGGUUUCACAGCAGUGCAGGUGCCAAUGGUAAUAAAGCACAAUGUCACACAGAGACACAGAGACAGAGAGAGCACUCUUGGGAUACCAAAAUGACCAACAGUGCUUUAGAUAUCUAUAGAUUUGCACUGAAAUGGUGAUGUAAUCUGGGAUUUAUCAGACAUUGACAAAGUACCCUUAUUUAGUGCAGAUCCCAAGAGAGGACUGAAGAUAAAGCCUAAGAGUGGCUGCAUGGGGGAGGAUGGGAGUCAUAGAUGGCCUUGGUGAGGAUGGGUGGGCAAAGCUUGUCCAUUAGGAUUUCAGCAUGAUCAUUUUAGCAUUAUCAUUGUGUCAAGGAGACUGACUGAUGCAAACAGGAAAUUAGCCCACAGCUGCCAGAGUAGAGCAAAAGGAUUUAAAUCGGAAGGAUUACUUUUUAUUUGCGAGAGGGCACAGAUUAAUACUAAUUUCAGUGUUUGAUCCGUUCACAAGCCAGCAGAAACGAUCAGAUGCAAAUCGAAUUAAUCAGAAAUAAAAGCAUGCCUUGCAAUGAUUCAUUUUGACUCAUAGUUCCACAUGAACUCAACGAGAGAAGCCUCAAGCUAUUUACCAAGCUGGCUGCCCAUGAAGAAACACCACAGCCUCUUUAGCUUUAAAUGGCAUUACUUGCAAUGAGUAGGAGGGUGCCCUCACUAACAUGGCCCUGGUUUUGUUCAUUAGUCCCACACUCGCUGUUUGCCGCUCUUUAAUGUAGCUUUUGGAUAAACAGUCUACCUAAAUGAAUGUGCCUGUGUCACACCACUCUGAAUAAAAUUACAGCAGAGUGACUCGCUAAAAGGGUUUUGGGUGGUCUUCGUGUAUCAAAAUUGCCAUGUGGAAUGCUGGCAAACUUGCUUCUCGAAACAUAAUUCCUGUAAAAGGUGAUGGACAUUCUGAAUAAGGUCAUUCCUUGUUAUCGGUGAACCCUGCUGCUCAGGGUCUUUUCUCUUCUGAAUGUUUCCCUGUCCACAUCUUCUACACUGAUCACACCUUAUCUCCAUAUUUUCAAUUCUGAUAUUAAAAACAUAUAACUCAA
Long non-coding RNA from Oncorhynchus nerka (sockeye salmon), 3239 nucleotides. RefSeq lists it as uncharacterized. The transcript is spliced from 2 exons. The record is from RefSeq and is a predicted model, not a curated record. Lineage: Eukaryota; Metazoa; Chordata; Actinopteri; Salmoniformes; Salmonidae.